GAUCAUGGCUCAGGAUGAACGCUAGCUACAGGCUUAACACAUGCAAGUCGAGGGGAAACGUAUAUUGGAAGCUUGCUUCCGAUAGGCGUCGACCGGCGCACGGGUGAGUAACGCGUAUCCAACCUGCCCAUCACUUGGGAAUAACCUUGCGAAAGUAAGACUAAUGCCCAAUGACAUUUAUAGAAGGCAUCUGAAAUGAAUUAAAGAUUUAUCGGUGAUGGAUGGGGAUGCGUCUGAUUAGCUUGUUGGCGGGGUAACGGCCCACCAAGGCAACGAUCAGUAGGGGUUCUGAGAGGAAGGUCCCCCACAUUGGAACUGAGACACGGUCCAAACUCCUACGGGAGGCAGCAGUGAGGAAUAUUGGUCAAUGGGCGAGAGCCUGAACCAGCCAAGUAGCGUGCAGGACGACGGCCCUAUGGGUUGUAAACUGCUUUUAUAAGGGAAUAAAGUGGGUCACGUGUGACUUUUUGCAUGUACCUUAUGAAUAAGGACCGGCUAAUUCCGUG
Molecule: ribosomal RNA, 506 nt
Filed under: uncultured bacterium
Lineage: Bacteria
Description: bacterial SSU rRNA
Rfam family: Bacterial small subunit ribosomal RNA
Source: RNAcentral